Molecule: ribosomal RNA, 550 nt
Filed under: uncultured bacterium
Lineage: Bacteria
Description: bacterial SSU rRNA
Rfam family: Bacterial small subunit ribosomal RNA
Source: RNAcentral
UAGGGAAUCUUCGGCAAUGGGGGCAACCCUGACCGAGCAACGCCGCGUGAGUGAAGAAGGUUUUCGGAUCGUAAAGCUCUGUUGUAAGAGAAGAACGAGUGUGAGAGUGGAAAGUUCACACUGUGACGGUAACUUACCAGAAAGGGACGGCUAACUACGUGCCAGCAGCCGCGGUAAUACGUAGGUCCCGAGCGUUAUCCGGAUUUAUUGGGCGUAAAGCGAGCGCAGGCGGUUAGAUAAGUCUGAAGUUAAAGGCUGUGGCUUAACCAUAGUACGCUUUGGAAACUGUUUAACUUGAGUGCAGAAGGGGAGAGUGGAAUUCCAUGUGUAGCGGUGAAAUGCGUAGAUAUAUGGAGGAACACCGGUGGCGAAAGCGGCUCUCUGGUCUGUAACUGACGCUGAGGCUCGAAAGCGUGGGGAGCGAACAGGAUUAGAUACCCUGGUAGUCCACGCCGUAAACGAUGAGUGCUAGGUGUUAGGUCCUUUCCGGGACUUAGUGCCGCAGCUAACGCAUUAAGCACUCCGCCUGGGGAGUACGACCGCAAGGUUG